RNAcentral lists this transfer RNA (73 nucleotides) under Mycobacterium sp. WUMAC-067. Its description in RNAcentral is "tRNA-Val". It matches the Rfam family "tRNA". From Rfam's summary of the family: Transfer RNA (tRNA) molecules are approximately 80 nucleotides in length. Their secondary structure includes four short double-helical elements and three loops (D, anti-codon, and T loops). The record is from RNAcentral. Lineage: Bacteria; Bacillati; Actinomycetota; Actinomycetes; Mycobacteriales; Mycobacteriaceae. RNAcentral also lists the same sequence under 1 other name.
AUGUAGUAGCCCAGCGGAUAGAGCGCCCUUCUGACUAAAGGGAAGGCCGCGGAUUCGAGUCCCGCCUACAUCU